CAGUAGCCACGGUAAUACGUAGGGUGCGAGCGUUAAUCGGAAUUACUGGGCGUAAAGCGUGCGCAGGCGGUUCGUUAAGACAGAUGUGAAAUCCCCGGGCUUAACCUGGGAACUGCAUUUGUGACUGACGGGUUAGAGUAUGGCAGAGGGGGGUAGAAUUCCACGUGUAGCAGUGAAAUGCGUAGAGGUGUGGAGGAAUACCGAUGGCGAAGGCAGCCCCCUGGGCCAAUACUGACGCUCAUGCACGAAAGCGUGGGGAGCAAACAGGAUUAGAUACCCCCGUAGUCCCUGUCUCUUAUAC
This 301-nucleotide ribosomal RNA is filed under the name uncultured bacterium. Its description in RNAcentral is "partial 16S ribosomal RNA". It matches the Rfam family "Bacterial small subunit ribosomal RNA", at positions 509 to 807 of the family's 1533-position model. The record is from RNAcentral.